GCUCUUUUUUCUCCGUCCGUCCAUGACUAUAUUCGGUGCGCCGGCCCAGCCGGCUAUGGUGAUAAACGACUACCGUAAUAAGCCUAUCGGACCCGGGGGCAGUACCCGGCGCCUCCACCCCAGCCCUGCCGCACCGGCGGGCUGCGGCGGGGGCGAAACAGGAUCGACGAGGGUGUAAAGGGUGGGCUUUUGCCCGGCAUGGUUCCGCCGUUAUCGGGCCGAAAUUAUAGUUGCCAACGACAACUAUGCUCCGGUUGCGGUUGCCGCGUAAGCGGUAACUAGACCGAAAAGAAGUCCUUCCGGGUAGCACCGUAAGGCGGGGUUCGGAGGCACCUGGCAACAGAAGCCUCCACU
Molecule: transfer-messenger RNA, 354 nt
Filed under: Labrys wisconsinensis
Lineage: Bacteria; Pseudomonadati; Pseudomonadota; Alphaproteobacteria; Hyphomicrobiales; Xanthobacteraceae
Rfam family: Alphaproteobacteria transfer-messenger RNA
About the family: Bacterial tmRNA, also known as 10Sa RNA or SsrA, is named for its dual tRNA and mRNA-like properties. Its role is to liberate the mRNA from a stalled ribosome.
Source: RNAcentral